This is a long non-coding RNA of Ochotona curzoniae (black-lipped pika), 1073 nucleotides long. RefSeq lists it as uncharacterized. The record is from RefSeq and is a predicted model, not a curated record. The transcript is spliced from 2 exons. NCBI's taxonomy places the organism in Eukaryota, Metazoa, Chordata, Mammalia, Lagomorpha, Ochotonidae.
AGUUUCCAAUAAAAAGAAAUAAAUCUUUCUAAACAACCAUAGAAUUAUGCAAUAGUUCUGAAAUUCUUCAGAAUUUCCUGAAACUAAAUUUUUUAUUCAUAAUAGAAAUAUGAAGCAGAAAAUACAUGUCUAUAUCCUUCCAUUAUAUACUGUUUUCAUAGUGCUUUUAGACAAAUGCAGUAUAUCAAGGCACUAAUAUUAAAUCCAUCAAGGACUAUCUAUUGCUUGUUUUAAGUCGGUCUGGUUAGAUGGAUUAUUGUAAGAUUUCAGAAAAAAAUUAAGAGAUGCAACCACAGAAAGUAGCUCUCUUUUCAAACCACAGAACUAGAGGUGAAACAAGUGUUCACACCAUGAAAACAAACUUUGUGAUUUGGUUGGAAGGCCGAGGUCCGGCCCGGGGUCCAGCCUGGGAGAGCCAGGGGUGGCUCCGGGACCUGCAAUUAGGGAUCCCAGUCUCUUGGCACCCAUUCCAGUGUGCAUGCCUCUAGCAUGAGCACACCCUGACUCCAAAGGAAAGGACUGACACCUCUUAGACUGUAGAAAAUAAUAGUUAUACACAGUUGUAGGAAUAGGAGAACAGAUUGUGAACACUUAAUUUUGUAAUCUGUAAUGAUCCUCAAGUACAGUUAGUAUUGUUUUUAAUAAACUGUUGCUGUUUAACCUAGUCCUAUGGAAAAGAAUUACCUCAUUAUAAAGAGAAUGUACUUGAGUGAUAAACGUUUUAUUUUCUAAAUUUUACAAAUGCAGUUAAAUUGAUAUUUGGGGAAAUCUGCUUUAAAAACAAUCCUAGGAGAAGCUUUCUUUCCUAGCUAGUAUGUAAAUAUAUCCAGCAUAGAGUUGUAACUAGUAAAACAGAAACUGCUGUUAUAAUCUUACCCUGUCUUAGAAUUUGAAGUUCUUUGCCAGUUUCAUUUAUCACCACUUACACUAGUCUAGAAACUUUUACAAGAAUGUUACUGAGGCAGUGUGCCAGUGAAUGGCGUUUAAUGUCAUCCCUUUGGAACUGCUUCUCUCUAACUUAACUGUGAGAUGAUAGAUAACCAGUGUAACCUAUACUAACUAUUUUUCUAUCU